This 500-nucleotide ribosomal RNA is filed under the name uncultured bacterium. RNAcentral's name for it is "partial 16S ribosomal RNA". It matches the Rfam family "Bacterial small subunit ribosomal RNA", at positions 29 to 523 of the family's 1533-position model. The record is from RNAcentral.
AUUGAACGCUGGCGGAAUGCUUUACACAUGCAAGUCGAACGGCAGCACGGGGGCAACCCUGGUGGCGAGUGGCGAACGGGUGAGUAAUACAUCGGAACGUGCCCAGUCGUGGGGGAUAACGCAGCGAAAGCUGUGCUAAUACCGCAUACGAUCUAUGGAUGAAAGCGGGGGACCGUAAGGCCUCGCGCGAUUGGAGCGGCCGAUGGCAGAUUAGGUAGUUGGUGGGGUAAAGGCUCACCAAGCCGGCGAUCUGUAGCUGGUCUGAGAGGACGACCAGCCACACUGGGACUGAGACACGGCCCAGACUCCUACGGGAGGCAGCAGUGGGGAAUUUUGGACAAUGGGCGCAAGCCUGAUCCAGCCAUUCCGCGUGCAGGAUGAAGGCCCUCGGGUUGUAAACCGCUUUUGUACGGAACGAAAAGCCUUCUUCUAAUACAGGAGGGUCAUGACGGUACCGUAAGAAUAAGCACCGGCUAACUACGUGCCAGCCGCCGCCGUAA